CUGUGAGCUCGAUGAGUAGGGCGGGACACGUGGUAUCCUGUCUGAAUAUGGGGGGACCAUCCUCCAAGGCUAAAUACUCCUGACUGACCGAUAGUGAACCAGUACCGUGAGGGAAAGGCGAAAAGAACCCCGGCGAGGGGAGUGAAAAAGAACCUGAAACCGUGUACGUACAAGCAGUGGGAGCACGCUUAGGCGUGUGACUGCGUACCUUUUGUAUAAUGGGUCAGCGACUUAUAUUCUGUAGCAAGGUUAACCGAAUAGGGGAGCCGAAGGGAAACCGAGUCUUAACUGGGCGUUAAGUUGCAGGGUAUAGACCCGAAACCCGGUGAUCUAGCCAUGGGCAGGUUGAAGGUUGGGUAACACUAACUGGAGGACCGAACCGACUAAUGUUGAAAAAUUAGCGGAUGACUUGUGGCUGGGGGUGAAAGGCCAAUCAAACCGGGAGAUAGCUGGUUCUCCCCGAAAGCUAUUUAGGUAGCGCCUCGUGAAUUCAUCUCCGGGGGUAGAGCACUGUUUCGGCAAGGGGGUCAUCCCGACUUACCAACCCGAUGCAAACUGCGAAUACCGGAGAAUGUUAUCACGGGAGACACACGGCGGGUGCUAACGUCCGUCGUGAAGAGGGAAACAACCCAGACCGCCAGCUAAGGUCCCAAAGUCAUGGUUAAGUGGGAAACGAUGUGGGAAGGCCCAGACAGCCAGGAUGUUGGCUUAGAAGCAGCCAUCAUUUAAAGAAAGCGUAAUAGCUCACUGGUCGAGUCGGCCUGCGCGGAAGAUGUAACGGGGCUAAACCAUGCACCGAAGCUGCGGCAGCGACGCUUAUGCGUUGUUGGGUAGGGGAGCGUUCUGUAAGCCUGUGAAGGUGUACUGUGAGGUAUGCUGGAGGUAUCAGAAGUGCGAAUGCUGACAUAAGUAACGAUAAAGCGGGUGAAAAGCCCGCUCGCCGGAAGACCAAGGGUUCCUGUCCAACGUUAAUCGGGGCAGGGUGAGUCGACCCCUAAGGCGAGGCCGAAAGGCGUAGUCGAUGGGAAACAGGUUAAUAUUCCUGUACUUGGUGUUACUGCGAAGGGGGGACGGAGAAGGCUAUGUUGGCCGGGCGACGGUUGUCCCGGUUUAAGCGUGUAGGCUGGUUUUCCAGGCAAAUCCGGAAAAUCAAGGCUGAGGCGUGAUGACGAGGCACUACGGUGCUGAAGCAACAAAUGCCCUGCUUCCAGGAAAAGCCUCUAAGCAUCAGGUAACAUCAAAUCGUACCCCAAACCGACACAGGUGGUCAGGUAGAGAAUACCAAGGCGCUUGAGAGAACUCGGGUGAAGGAACUAGGCAAAAUGGUGCCGUAACUUCGGGAGAAGGCACGCUGAUAUGUAGGUGAAGUCCCUCGCGGAUGGAGCUGAAAUCAGUCGAAGAUACCAGCUGGCUGCAACUGUUUAUUAAAAACACAGCACUGUGCAAACACGAAAGUGGACGUAUACGGUGUGACGCCUGCCCGGUGCCGGAAGGUUAAUUGAUGGGGUCAGCGCAAGCGAAGCUCUUGAUCGAAGCCCCGGUAAACGGCGGCCGUAACUAUAACGGUCCUAAGGUAGCGAAAUUCCUUGUCGGGUAAGUUCCGACCUGCACGAAUGGCGUAAUGAUGGCCAGGCUGUCUCCACCCGAGACUCAGUGAAAUUGAACUCGCUGUGAAGAUGCAGUGUACCCGCGGCAAGACGGAAAGACCCCGUGAACCUUUACUAUAGCUUGACACUGAACAUUGAGCCUUGAUGUGUAGGAUAGGUGGGAGGCUUUGAAGUGUGGACGCCAGUCUGCAUGGAGCCGACCUUGAAAUACCACCCUUUAAUGUUUGAUGUUCUAACGUGGACCCGUAAUCCGGGUUGCGGACAGUGUCUGGUGGGUAGUUUGACUGGGGCGGUCUCCUCCUAAAGAGUAACGGAGGAGCACGAAGGUUGGCUAAUCCUGGUCGGACAUCAGGAGGUUAGUGCAAUGGCAUAAGCCAGCUUGACUGCGAGCGUGACGGCGCGAGCAGGUGCGAAAGCAGGUCAUAGUGAUCCGGUGGUUCUGAAUGGAAGGGCCAUCGCUCAACGGAUAAAAGGUACUCCGGGGAUAACAGGCUGAUACCGCCCAAGAGUUCAUAUCGACGGCGGUGUUUGGCACCUCGAUGUCGGCUCAUCACAUCCUGGGGCUGAAGUAGGUCCCAAGGGUAUGGCUGUUCGCCAUUUAAAGUGGUACGCGAGCUGGGUUUAGAACGUCGUGAGACAGUUCGGUCCCUAUCUGCCGUGGGCGCUGGAGAACUGAGGGGGGCUGCUCCUAGUACGAGAGGACCGGAGUGGACGCAUCACUGGUGUUCGGGUUGUCAUGCCAAUGGCACUGCCCGGUAGCUAAAUGCGGAAGAGAUAAGUGCUGAAAGCAUCUAAGCACGAAACUUGCCCCGAGAUGAGUUCUCCCUGAC
This 2437-nucleotide ribosomal RNA is filed under the name Escherichia coli. RNAcentral describes it as "partial 23S ribosomal RNA". It matches the Rfam family "Bacterial large subunit ribosomal RNA", at positions 397 to 2819 of the family's 2925-position model. The record is from RNAcentral. Lineage: Bacteria; Pseudomonadati; Pseudomonadota; Gammaproteobacteria; Enterobacterales; Enterobacteriaceae.